ACUCAAAUGAAUUGACGGGGACCCGCACAAACGGUGGAGCAUGUGGUUUAAUACGACGAUACGCGUGGAACCUUACCCAGGCUUGACAUGUACUAGAAAGCCUUAUGAAAGUAGGGACCCCUCUUCGGAGGCUGGUACACAGGUGUUGCAUGGCUGUCGUCAGCUCGUGUCGUGAGAUGUUGGGUUAAGUCCCGCAACGAGCGCAACCCUUAUUCUUAGUUGCUAAUCUAGCCGCAAGGUUAGAUGCACUCUAGGGAGACUGCCGCUGAUAAAGCGGAGGAAGGUGGGGAUGACGUCAAGUCAGUACGGCCCUUACGCCUGGGGCUACACACGUGCUACAAUGGCCGGUACAAAGGGCUGCGAUACCGCAAGGUGGAGCAAAUCCUUAAAGCCGGUCCCAGUUCGGAUUGAAGGCUGCAACUCGCCUUCAUGAAGCCGGAAUCGUUAGUAACCCUAUAUCAGACACGAUAGGGUGAAUACGUUCCCGGGUCUUGUACACACCGCCCGU
This 508-nucleotide ribosomal RNA is filed under the name uncultured bacterium. Its description in RNAcentral is "partial 16S ribosomal RNA". It matches the Rfam family "Bacterial small subunit ribosomal RNA", at positions 899 to 1397 of the family's 1533-position model. The record is from RNAcentral.